ACGCGUCCUGUGAGGAUUUAAAAAUCAAAAUGGGGAGGGGUGUAUUAGAUAAUGAGGACUUCCAAAAAGCUAACUCCUCCUCCGGGAUCAAAAUGCACCUGAAAGGUGGGAAGAGGUCGAGCCCCGGGUUCUCGCCGCAGAUGAUGAAAUUCACCUGAGACCACAUAGCCGGAGAAGGCCAAACUGAGUUUUGAAUCUAGGCAAUCUUGACCCCAGAGCCUUACAGCCUAAAGGUCUUCAUAAUAUUCCACUGAUGGAUGUACUGUAAUUUAUUUGAUUAAUCCCCUAUUGAUGGACAUUUGAGUUAUUUCCAGUCUUUUGAUAUUACAAACAAUGCUGCAAUGUGUAAGCCGAGACAUAUGUCAUUUCUCACGUGUGGGAAGAUAUCGAUUGAAUAAAUUUCUGCCUUUUCAUCUUUCACCAAAAUUUCAUUUUCACUUGAUGAACAAUUUUUGCACCGGGAAUGCUCACUAAAACACUUUAAUCUCUUGUUUGUUUGAUAUAAAAGACUCAUUCAUGUCAUAGACUGAAACUACUUCCAAAUUAUAUAUUCCACAUACUAACUUACACCAAAACUCUGUUGCCUGGCUAAGAACAAUCAUUUUCUUAGAGCUUCACUUGUAUUGCCAGAACUAGCAACUGGGAGACACACACACACAAAAUAAUAACACCACUGACUGCCUAUGAAACAAGUUGAGAACAACACCAGGAAGUUGAGACACACAUGCCAGGCAGUUUCUAGCCUUGUUCAUCAGCACAGCAACUGACUUACUGGCCUCAGAAACCUUUCAGUUCAAGUUGACAUCUCAGCAAAGUCUCUAGGUUUGUGGCCCUUCUGGGGAAGCUUGUAAGUGUCCAAAACUUUGAAAAGUUUUCCUGUCAGAGUUUGUAAAAUUGUAACCCCCUGGCUAUUUCACAGGAUCCCAUUAGUAAGGGUCAAGAAAGCUAAUGGCAUUGUUUUCUAGUUACCAGCCCAGAGCAGAAGCCAACAGACUCUGAGCAAGGCCCAAACAGUUUAUUUAAUGUGGAUUCUAUCCCCCCCUUAUCAAUGAAUGUUCAGUCAAUGCCCUAGGUAAUAGGAGCUAAGUGAUAGGAUCCAUAUGAUAAAAUUACAGUAAAAAUACUAGCUAACAUUUAUUGAGCAUUCACUAUGUGCCAACCACUAUGCUAAGAGCUUUACACGCAUUCUUGUUUUCAGGUUCAGUCCAUUGCAGAUUUAAGCAAGGGUGUACAAGAAGCUCAUUCCUUCCCCUUCUAGUCCCUCCCCCAAAGUAAACCCUGAUCCCAGACUCUCUCAUUUGUCCUAAGAGCUACUAAAAUGAAAAUAUCCCUGCAAGAGGGAACACUGUAAACGGAACCAGGUUUUAUACAUCAUUUUGCCUGAUUUUAUCGUAUUCUUUACAGGACAACAUUUUAAUGGGAGAGCUCUAUGGAUGCGUUGUUAGGUGGAGAGAGACUGCCACGGACAGGGAGGCACUGAUACACAGUAAAAGUUCAGUUUGCCUCGGAGUAGUCUCUGGAAUAUAAUCACCACCAUCGCCCCUUCCCAAUUUUAACCCCCACUCCCUUAUGAAUGCAUGGGAAAAGCAAAGACCAGGAUGGAGUUUUUUACUCUGCAUUGUUAUAAUAAUUAACUUUACUUAAUGGUUCAUUAAGUAUUGACAUGCUCAAGGAUCAGUAACUUCUAAUCAGUGCAUUAGACCAUCUUCAGAAGUUGCUUAUGGGUACUUAUGAAGGGUGUUUGGGACUAUGCCUUUAGUCCCAAUCAGCUCUAAGAACAGUUUCAUUUCAUAGCAAUUUCUUUUUCAAAAUAAUUUUCUUAAGUGUUGAUCAUGGGUCUUUAAGCACAGACUGAAGACUAUCUCUCACAGAGACAUAAUUUAUCAAGGCUUAAAACCACUCAGACUGAGGAAGACCUCUGACUAAUUGUUGUGAGGGGUGGGCAAGUGCAGUGGAAUACCUAAAAAAGUGGGUCACGCAGCUAAUCACGGGAUUAAGCCAACAGUUAAACAAAAGGCAAUCUCACUCUGUCUCUUUGAUCUGUAUCCAGUCGCUGGCAUUAACUUAGUUUUUGAAUCUUUUGAGUUCCCACAGGGAACUGGGCUGGGCUGUAUUAUUUAUGGCCUCUCCUGGCUCCAAGUGUAGCUUGCUGGGUGAAUGUCUGGGGCAGAGGGAGAAAAAAAUUCUGUGGGUGUUCCACUGCAUACAGCCCUAACUGAAAGCAUAAAACUGGGCUGCAAUUACCAUGCCCUCUCCAUUACUUCCAGAGAAUUACCCAGGAACAUUACUGGAAAUGAGCUGUCUUGUCCAGUCAGCUCCCAUUCUCUCAGGAAGAUUAGAGCCUGGUGAAUUUCACAACCCUUGCAGCUUCUUCAGAAAUGCAUUAUGAGUUUCCAAAUCUCUUGCUCAGCCUUGAUAAAAUUCCCAAGUGAUUGCAAAUGUGAAAAUAAAACCCAAAGCUACUUUGUACCUUGGUAUAUAUGAAUAAGGCAGGGAGUGAACAUUGCACAUAAGUAACCUAGACUUCAUAAUCAUAUGGACUUUUGGGCACUUAGUGGAAUCCGCAGUCCCUAUGUGGCAGAAAUAAAUAUUGUUAAUGAUACAGGCUAACUCUUGUCAGGUACCUCAGCAAUUCAUGGAAUGUUAGAGCUGGUAGGAACUUAAAGGUCAUCUACUUCAUACCUUCAUGUCAUGAAUUUGAGACCAGAGAGAUUAAGUCACUUAUUGAUAGGCAUUCAGUUCAUAUGGUAGAAAGAACACUUAGCUUAGAAUGAGACAACUUGAACUUGAGUCUUCACCCUGCCCCUUUCUGGUGGUGGUUUUCAGACAAGCCAGUGAGCCUCAAUUUUAUAUUGGGAAAUCGGAGUUAAUUUAUGCCCCAGACAGGCUGUGAAUAUUGCUCUGAUGGGUAGGAACAAGGAGGUGCCACUAGGAACUUGGAAAUAAUUUAGCUCUUUCAAACUAGUAAAAUUCACACAGUCACAUGAAAUUGUAAACUUAUGACAGAAGAGUUGUUUUUAAAAUAAGUCCAUUUUUCCCCUGAUUUUAUAGAGUACCAUGUGUCCAUUGUACUGAAAAAAAAAAAAAAAAGAAUAAAGAAGGGCUUUCCUGGUGGCGCAGUGGUUUAGAGUCCACCUGCCAAUGCAGGGGACACGGGUUCGUGCCCCGGUCCGGGAAGAUCCCACAUGCCACGGAGCGGCUGGGCCCAUGAGCCAUGGCCGCUGAGCCUGCGCGUCCGGAGGCUGUGCUCCGCAACGGGAGAAGCCACAACAGUGAGAGGCCCGUGUACUGCAAAAAAAAAAUAAAGAAGAAAAUGCAGAUUAUGAGUAAAUGCAUGGUGAAUGCAUUCCAGAUAUAUGCUGGAAGAACUCCUCAUAUUCAUGAGGAUGGGAUCAUGCCAUACAUGCUUUUGACCUUUAGCGAGAUAUUGGUAUAACCUUUCAAUGUAUUUGAGAGCACUCAGAAUUCCAAGCAAAAUGAACUGGGUAUAAUAUCUGGGAAGCCAAUCUUAUCUGAAAUGUGAUGGUAAUACGAUAAUCCAAGGAAAAACUGAGUGAAUAAAAUAAGCACGAUUGGCAAGAAGCAAAGCAAAAGGAAGCCCCCCAAUGCCAGAAUGUAGACCAGGCAAGGGGCUAGAUUAAGCUCUACAAGCUUUACUUAAUUGAAUCCUCUCAACUACUCUACAGAAUAGGUACCAUUGCUAUUUUCAUUUUUCACAUGAAGAAACUGAUGGUGGAGGAAAUUAAAUAAUUUACCCAACAUCAUGCUAUUAAUAAGUGUUAGGAACUGGAAUGUACCCAAGCAGUACACUUCCAGGGCCUGAUUUGUCUAAUUUAUAUUUUAUUUUUACUAAAGUUACACAUACACAUAUAUUUUUUUAAAUAUUUAUUUAUUUAUUUAUUUGGCUGUUCUGGGUCUUAGUUGCAGUACGUGGCAUCUUCGUUGCUGUGUGCGGGAUCUUUAGUUGUGGUGUGUGGGAUCUAGUUCCCUGACCAGGGAUCAAACCCUGGCCCCCUGCAUUGGGAGCACAGAGUCUUAACCACUGGACCGCCAGGGAAGUCCCACCACAUACACAUAAUUUAAAGAGUCAGAGUUCUUCAAGGUUUGUUUGAAAACAACAGUCUCUAGUCCCUACCUCCCUAUCCCAUUUCUCACAAUCUAGAGGUAAUUAUUUUCAUUCCCUACCUAAACAGCUGAUUCUUUUUUUAAAAAAUUUAUUUAUUUAAUUUUGGCUGCUUUGGUUCUUCGUUACUGCGCACGGGCUUUCUCUAGUUGUGGCGAGAGGGGGCUACUCUUCGUUGCGGUGCGUGGCUUCUCAUUGCUGUGGCUUCUCUUGUUGCGGAGCAUGGGCUCUAGGCGCGUGGGCUUCAGUAGUUGUGGCACGCGGGCUCAGUAGUUGUGGCUCACAGGCUGUAGAGUGCAGGCUCAGUAGUCGUGGCACACGAACUUAGUUGCUCUGUGGCAUGUGGGAUCUUCCGGAACCAGGGCUCGAACCCGUGUCCCCUGCAUUGGCAGGUGGAUUCUUAAUCACUGCACCACCAGGGAACACCUAAACAGCUGAUUCUUAAGGUAUUUACCUCCAUAUUGCUAAACAACUUGUUUUAAUUCUUUGUGGGUUUUACAUUUUAGACAUUCUCUAUUGUCAUUCCACUCUAGAAGAUGAGGAUUUAGCCCUCUGUCUCCCUCAUUCCCCACUUCCAUCAUGAGCUCUCUUCCCCUCUGCCUGUUCUCUCUAUGUAGUCUGCUGUGGACUAAAUGAUUGUGCCUCUCCAAAAUUCAUAUGUUAAAACUUAAUUCCCAAAGUGAUGAUAGUUGGAAGUGGGGCCUUUAGGAAGUGAUUAGGUCUUGAGGGUAGAGCCCUCAAGACUGGAAGUAGUGCCCUUAUAAAAGAGACCCCAGGGCUUCCCUGGUGGCGCAGUGGUUGGGAGUCCGCCUGCCGAUGCAGGGUACACGGGUUUGUGCCCCGGUCCGGGAAGAUCCCACAUGCUGCGGAGCGGCUGGGCCCGUGAGCCAUGGCCACUGAGCCUGCACGUCCGGAGCCUGUGCUCCACAACGGGAGAGGCCACAACAGUGAGAGGCCCGCGUACCGCAAAAAAAAAAGAGACCCCAAAGAGAUCCCUUGCCCCUUCUGCCAUGUGAGGUUAUAGCAAGAAGGCGUCAUCUAUGAACCAGAAAGUGGGCGAUCGCCAGACGCCAAACCUUCCAGUGCCUUCAUCUUGGACUUUCCAGCCUCCAGAACAGUAAGAAAUAAAUUUCUGUUAUUUACAAGCCACGCAGUCUGUGCUGUUUUGUUACAGCAGCCCGAACAGACUAAGACAGUCAUACUGUGACUUUCAUUAUAUCUAAUAUUCAGUUGUCAGAAUUCCUUGUCCCUCUUGUUCUGGAUUUUUUGUUUAUUCUUCAUUACAAAUUUAUUGUGUUCCUACUAUGUGCCAGGCAUUAUUAUAGGUGCUAGCUUAUAUCAAUGAAAGUUUAUCAUAAGAUUCUCAGGUGGGCAUCUAUUUUUACCCAUUGUUCUGGGCAGUUGGUGGGCCCUUCACUCUGGAAACUGAGAUUGUAGGAUGUUUUCAUUAAUUUUUUUGUUAUGAUUUACUAUCCUCUGUUCUUUUCUUUUAGUAAUCCUAUUAUUAGAUAUUGGACCUCCUAUACAGCUCCUCUAAUUUUCAUCUUUUCUCUCCUACUAUCCAUACGCUAGUCUUUUACGCUACUUCUUGGGAGAUUGCCUUAACUUUAUCUUUUAGCCCUUAUAUUGAAUUUCUCAUUUCUAUGUCAUGUUUUUAAUAUCUAAGUUCCUUUUGAGUUUACUGACUAUUCCUUUUAUAGCUAACCUGUUAUUGUUUCAUAUCUUCUCUUAUCUCUCUAAAGACAAGAUAGUUUGUUUUCUAAAUUUCCUCUUGGCAGACCUUGUUUCCUUCAAGUUGCUUCCUUCUGUUUGCAUUAAUAGGCAUUCCUCACAUAUCUGAUGAUCACUGGCUGUCUAGUUUUAUUUUAAGAAUGGGGCACUGAAAAGAGGAUGCGCUGCUUGCAGAAUGGGAUUCUCCAUUGAGUUUACUACAGGAUGAUGUAACAUAGGCCAACAUACUGGACCCAUGUCAGUAUCUUUUCUCUAAGGCUGAUUAGAUUACCCAGAGAAUUCUUCCAGCCUUUUGCCAAGAAAACAUAAGCCUGGCUAACAGUGUUCUGGGAACCAAGUGGAGGAAAAAGAUGGAGGAAGUCUCAACACACAAUUUAAAUAUUUACAUUUAAUCCCUGGUAUUCAAAAUAGUAGUCCUCUUCCUUUCCCUGAUCUCAAUCUAGAGUCCCUCUGUUAGUUCUUGGCAUGGGAAUAAGCCUUCAGUUUCAUACUGAAUGAGGCAGAGGCAGUCUCCUGCCUGCAAGGAAUAGGAGUAGGGAAUUAGGGAUCUCCUAGCUUCUUAAAAAGACUUUCCGCUAAAUCUCCUGUGUUGUAAUCCCCACCCUCAUUCUCCCUUCCUAAAGUAUCUGUUGCUCCAGUUUUUUUAGGGCUCUGUAUUGUAAAUUGGGUUGGUUAUCAUCAAGUUUAAGAUUCAGCUUUAUUGACUAUCCUAAUUCAGUUAGUACUUGUCUCUCUGCUUCCUAGUUUCUAAAAUUUUAUUGAUGUUGUUUCCUAUCCCACUCCCUUUAUCCUUGUGCAUUUUAUUAAAAUUAUUCUAUUGUUUUCUUAGCUGGGUGAAGGAAGGAAGGGAUUUGAGUGCUCAUGUUCAAUCUGACAUCUUUUACUGGACUGAUCCAGACCCUACGGCACUAUCAAUACAUUACAGAAAAGUUUGCAAGGUUUGUUCUAACUAUUCUAGAAAGACAGAUACUAAAUGUAGCUAACAGAAACACAGUCACUAAAGAACCAUGGUAACCAUAGUUGGACGAAAUGUCCAUCAGGACUCUCCAUCCUUUUUUUGUUUGGAUUCCAUGCUUACUGGAAAUCUUCUAAUUAUAUGAAAUUCAAUAUGUCUGAGGUAAAAUUCCUAAUCUAACACCCAGACUAGGUUCUCUUACAGUGUUCACCAUCUUAGUAAGUGGUACCUCAUUCUUUCAAUUACUCAUGUCAGAAACAUAGGAGUCAUUCUAACUCCUACUUCCUUCUCAGCCCCCACAUCUACCCAUCACCAUGUCCUGCCUGUAAAUAUUUAUAACAUGAGUCCAUUUCUUCCCAUCUCUACUCUGAAGACCCCUGUUCAAGUUACAAAUAUGUCUUACACUUCUACCGUUGUCUCCUAAAUGAUCUCCCUGCAACCAUUGCAGCCCCCUUACCUGUCCAUUUCCCACACUGUAGUCAUAGUCACCUUUGCAAAAUGCAGGUGAGAUCUUGUUCUAUACGAUCUGCUUAAAAUCUUCAGUGAUUUCCCAUGACUCUUUAGAUAAGGACAGCAAUCCUUAGCAAGGCCUGUAAGGUCCUGCAGGGACUGGCCUGUCUCCUCUGGCCUUAUCUAGUGGUGUUCCCCACCCUUGCUGUCAGCUCCCCAGCCACGCUGCCUUUCUUUCUGAUCCUCUUUUCUCCUGAUGCUCUCCCUGCUACCCACCCCUCACCACAGGCCACUUCAGGCAAAACAGCUCCCUCCUACAGCUGCCACUAACAGCCUAACUGCCCCAUUCACUUGGUCCCAGGUUCUCACCUACUGAGUCAUUAGGUCUUGGUUCUAGAGUUACUUCCUCAGGGAAACCUGGUGAGGUCAGACUUCUAUUUAGUAUAGGCACACAGAAACAUGCUUCAUUUCUUUAUAGCACUUAUUAAUUAGGCCCUCAUUUUUUAUGACUGUUUUAUUAAUAUCUGCCUCUCCCUCCAGAUUGUAAGCACUAUAAGAGCAAAGAGCAUGUCUAUUACUUUUCAUCACUCUUUUCUCAGGACAUGGCUAAUUGCUGAUUUUUCUUUUAAGGGUUGAUUUAAAAAGGAAAAACUAGUAUGUAUCAUGGUUGACAUCUUCCUCAAAGUAAGAAGAAUUUCAGUAUACUGAAUAUCAUGCAAUAUUUCCUUUAAAGAUUCAAGGUCACCAUUAUAAAAACACGUAGUGUAAUAUAGUAAAUUUCUUACUUUUUUGAAUAUGUAGGGAUAUCAACCAUGAUGUUAAAUAGCCUCAGACUGAUUGUCCAGAAAAAAAGCGAGGCAAUUUUGAAGUUUUCUAAAGGGAAUUUGAAUUUUUUAAUGCUUAGAAGACUAAGAGAUUGGUUCAAUUAUCACCUUCAAAUAUAGGAAUCAUUUAAUAACAAUUAUUAUUAUCGUUAUUGAAUACUUAGCAUAUACUUUAUUAUCAUUAUUGAAUACUUAGCAUAUAUUAGUAGUAAUCAAGAACUUUAAAAACAUUAUCUCAUUUAAUCCUCACAGCAACUCUCUGAGGUAGGUAACUGGUAGUAUUUUCAUUUUACCAUUGAAGAAACUCAGGCAAGUUAAGGAAGAGGUUAAGAACUAACUGUGGGUAAAGGUAGUCUGGCUCUAGAGCCUGUAGGUUUAAUCCCUUUAAUGAAAAAGGUGAUGAGCAAUUCCUUUCAGGAGGCCAGAAAUUUGACCAAGAAAAACAUCUUAAAUGAGGGAGAGCCUUCAUUUGGACAGAAGGAAGAAUCAUUUAAAAGUAUUAAACAUUGCAAUAAACUAUUUUUAAUAAAUAAGCUGCAUGUUUAUUCUGUUUAGCUUUG
Molecule: long non-coding RNA, 8643 nt
Organism: Orcinus orca (killer whale)
Lineage: Eukaryota; Metazoa; Chordata; Mammalia; Artiodactyla; Delphinidae
Exons: 3
Source: RefSeq, a predicted model, not a curated record